AUUAAACGGCCGCGGUAUUAUGACCGUGCAAAGAUAGCGCAAUCACUUGUCUCUUAAAUGGGGACCCGUAUGAAUGGUUAAACGAGGACUUAACUGUCUCCCUUUUCCGGUCAGUGAAAUUGAUCUAUCCGUGCAGAAGCGGGUGUAAACAUACAAGACGAGAAGACCCUUUGGAGCUUAAGGCACACCAUCACCUAUGUUAAAACACCUAAACCAAAUAGUAUUUGAUGUGAGCCUUCGGUUGGGGUGACCGCGGAAUAAAGCUAAACCUCCGCAAGGAUUAAAGAAACCCUUUUAAAUAAAGAAAGACAUUUCUAAAUCACAGAAUUUCUGACCAUAAAGAUCCGACCAUGUCGAUCAACGAACCAAGUUACCCAAGGGAUAACAGCGCAAUCCCCUUUCAGAGUUCCUAUCGCCAAGGGGGUUUACGACCUCGAUGUUGGAUCAGGACAUCCUAAUGGUGUAGCCGUUAUUAAGGGUUCGUUUGUUCAACGAUUAAAG
This 501-nucleotide ribosomal RNA is filed under the name Lepthoplosternum pectorale. RNAcentral describes it as "partial 16S ribosomal RNA". It matches the Rfam family "Bacterial large subunit ribosomal RNA", at positions 1922 to 2593 of the family's 2925-position model. Lineage: Eukaryota; Metazoa; Chordata; Actinopteri; Siluriformes; Callichthyidae. The record is from RNAcentral.